UGGGGAAUAUUGCACAAUGGGCGCAAGCCUGAUGCAGCCAUGCCGCGUGUGUGAAGAAGGCCUUCGGGUUGUAAAGCACUUUUGUCCGGAAAGAAAUCCUUGGCUCUAAUACAGUCGGGGGAUGACGGUACCGGAAGAAUAAGCACCGGCUAACUACGUGCCAGCAGCCGCGGUAAUACGUAGGGUGCAAGCGUUAAUCGGAAUUACUGGGCGUAAAGCGUGCGCAGGCGGUUUGCUAAGACCGAUGUGAAAUCCCCGGGCUCAACCUGGGAACUGCAUUGGUGACUGGCAGGCUAGAGUAUGGCAGAGGGGGGUAGAAUUCCACGUGUAGCAGUGAAAUGCGUAGAGAUGUGGAGGAAUACCGAUGGCGAAGGCAGCCCCCUGGGCCAAUACUGACGCUCAUGCACGAAAGCGUGGGGAGCAAACAGGAUUAGAUACCCUGGUAGUCCACGCCCUAAAGCGAUGUCAACUAGUUGUUGGGGAUUCAUUUCCUUAGUAACGUAGCUAACGCGUGAAGUUGACCGCCUGGGGAGUACGGUCGCAAGAUUAAAACUCAAAGGAAUUGACGGGGUCAUAGCUGUUUCCUG
This 587-nucleotide ribosomal RNA is filed under the name uncultured bacterium. RNAcentral describes it as "partial 16S ribosomal RNA". It matches the Rfam family "Bacterial small subunit ribosomal RNA", at positions 355 to 1376 of the family's 1533-position model. The record is from RNAcentral.